CUGGCGGCGUGCCUAAUACAUGCAAGUCGAACGCACUCUCGUUUAGAUUGAAGGAGCUUGCUCCUGAUUGAUAAGCAUUUGAGUGAGUGGCGGACGGGUGAGUAACACGUGGGUAACCUGCCCUAAAGUGGGGGAUAACAUUUGGAAACAGGUGCUAAUACCGCAUAAAACCUAGCACCGCAUGGUGCAGGGUUGAAAGAUGGUUUCGGCUAUCACUUAGGAUGGACCCGCGGUGCAUUAGUUAGUUGGUGAGGUAAAGGCUCACCAAGACCGUGAUGCAUAGCCGACCUGAGAGGGUAAUCGGCCACACUGGGACUGAGACACGGCCCAGACUCCUACGGGAGGCAGCAGUAGGGAAUCUUCCACAAUGGACGAAAGUCUGAUGGGGCAACGCCGCGUGAGUGAAGAAGGUUUUCGGAUCGUAAAACUCUGUUGUUGGAGAAGAAUGUAUCUGAUAGUAACUGAUCAGGUAGUGACGGUAUCCAACCAGAAAGCCACGGCUAACUACGUG
Molecule: ribosomal RNA, 511 nt
Filed under: uncultured bacterium
Lineage: Bacteria
Description: bacterial SSU rRNA
Rfam family: Bacterial small subunit ribosomal RNA
Source: RNAcentral